RNAcentral lists this ribosomal RNA (480 nucleotides) under Segatella oris. RNAcentral's name for it is "bacterial SSU rRNA". It matches the Rfam family "Bacterial small subunit ribosomal RNA", at positions 28 to 497 of the family's 1533-position model. The record is from RNAcentral. Lineage: Bacteria; Pseudomonadati; Bacteroidota; Bacteroidia; Bacteroidales; Prevotellaceae.
GAUGAACGCUGGCUACAGGCUUAACACAUGCAAGUCGAGGGGAAACGACGGGGAAGCUUGCUUCCCCGGGCGUCGACCGGCGCACGGGUGAGUAACGCGUAUCCAACCUGCCUCUGACUGAGGGAUAACCCGUCGAAAGUCGGCCUAAUACCUCAUGGCAUCGUCUGCGGGCAUCCAACGACGAUUAAAGAUUUCAUCGGUCAGGGAUGGGGAUGCGUCUGAUUAGCUUGUUGGCGGGGUAACGGCCCACCAAGGCGACGAUCAGUAGGGGUUCUGAGAGGAAGGUCCCCCACAUUGGAACUGAGACACGGUCCAAACUCCUACGGGAGGCAGCAGUGAGGAAUAUUGGUCAAUGGGCGAGAGCCUGAACCAGCCAAGUAGCGUGCAGGAUGACGGCCCUAUGGGUUGUAAACUGCUUUUAUGCGGGGAUAAAGUGAGGGACGUGUCCUUCAUUGCAGGUACCGCAUGAAUAAGGACGGC